Molecule: long non-coding RNA, 19058 nt
Filed under: Populus tremula
Lineage: Eukaryota; Viridiplantae; Streptophyta; Magnoliopsida; Malpighiales; Salicaceae
Description: long non-coding RNA (PTRE_LNC001773)
Source: RNAcentral
UUGGACUAAAGAAGAAGAAAUUGGAUCAACUCGGUCGUCGGGUUGUACCUGGAUCAGUCAACUUCAUUCCCAAGGAAGAGGGAGGAGGAGCUUCCAAACCUGCAGCUACCAAAAAGUAUUACAAUCUCGGGGAAACCGAAGCCGAUAUUGUUGCCCUAAAAAACUACUUGGAUGCUCAGUAUUAUGGUGAAAUUGCUAUUGGCACACCUCCUCAAACUUUCACUGUUAUAUUUGAUACAGGAAGCUCUAAUCUUUGGGUGCCCUCUUCAAAAUGUUAUUUCUCGGUUGGUCCCCUUCCUUCCUUCGAGACUCUUUCGCAUUAUUGUGGUUGGGUUUUUCUUUUAAGUGUUUUUAGGUGAUUUUUGAUGAUUUUGAUACGAGGAUGUAAAAACCAUCGAAAAGUUUUCGAUGAUUUGAUGCUUUUCAGAUAAAAAAAUCACUUUGAAUUUCAAAAGCAUUACCAAACCACACUUCCUUCAAGUUGUUGCCUUUUGUUACUUUAAUAGUUUGCUGUCAUCUGGGUGCAGCUUGCUUGCUAUUUCCAUUCCAAGUAUAAGUCCAGUGCGUCAACAACCUACGUCAAGAAUGGUAUGAUCAUUUUCCCUUUGUUCUAGGAACUUACUGCUUCAAAGGUUGCCAUGUUUUUCUUGAGAUUUUUUCAUUGACGCAGGCACCUCUGCUGCAAUUCAAUAUGGAACUGGUUCAAUUUCUGGUUUCUUUAGCCAGGACAGUGUUGAAGUUGGUGAUCUUGUUGUUAAGAAUCAGGUAAACGAUAAUGCUUUUUUAUUUGUUUCAGUUAAUUAUUGUUGCUGGUGUUCUUAAUCUGUGCUACUGUUAUUAGGGUUUUAUCGAGGCAACAAAAGAACCAGGUGUCACAUUCUUGGCUUCCAAGUUUGAUGGUAUACUUGGACUUGGGUUUCAAGAAAUCUCAGUUGGAAAUGCUGUUCCAGUUUGGUGAGUAGAUUGUUUUCUUUUAGUUUAAGAAUUUUUAAAUUAUUUUUUCCGUUGUUAUCAUCUCUAUUUGAAUUAUUAUUACUAUCAUGCAAUCCUUGUAGGUACAAUAUGGUUAAUCAAGGUCUUGUUAAGGAAAAAGUUUUUUCAUUUUGGUUGAACCGCAAUGUUGAAGGGGAAGAAGGGGGAGAAAUUGUGUUUGGUGGGGUGGAUCCUGAUCAUUACAAGGGCGAGCACACAUAUGUUCCUGUGACUCAUAAGGGGUAUUGGCAGGUUAGACUCCAUAAUAUUUUCAUUAUUUGCACAAUUUUCCUUGCCUAUUUAUAAUCUCUUGUUUUUCUGUUCUGUUACCUGUUUCCCUAAUUCGCAGUUUGAUAUGGGAGACUUGUUGAUUGGCACUGAAACACUGGUAAUUAUACAAAGCUUACUGCGCAUGCUUAUCAUCUAGACUCUGGGGACAUUAGCUUCUUGACAGAUUUGGUGUAUAUGUUUGUUUUAUGGUAUUGAGAGAUAUGAAUAUUGCUUUCAGGAUUGUGUGCUGGUGGGUGUAAAGCAAUUGCUGAUUCUGGAACCUCUUUGCUGGCGGGUCCAACAGUACGUAAUUUUGGCUGCUAUAUGUCCUUAUUUUCCCUAGUGAACUCCUACAUAACAUGCUUAGUUGCACAUUGCUGCAAAUGCAGUUCAAUGCGUUAUUAUCUUUUAUAAAUGACGUUAGUUCAUGACCACUAUUUGGAGUAGUAAAAUGUCAAAUGUGAAAGCGGAUGAGUUAUUAUUGCAUUACAAGAUUGGAUUAUUACAUUAUUUGAAAUAUCAUUGUUUGUAUGUUUGAAUCUCUUAACAUUUUUCUUGAUAAAAAAGAAAACUUGAAGAAAUGAUAUAAUAUUAUGAAGGGAGACUGAAACAUCCUUCUCAACAACAAAAUUCAAAACAGAAGAACUCUCAAUGUAGAACAUCGUAAAGAUGCUAUUCCAUAUGUACUCCCAAAGUAAAACGUAGUAAAGAUGCUUGAAAAGUAUUCUAUCCUAUGGUAAUUCCCGGAGGGAAAUUGAUCUUGAUACUCUAGAAUUUUUCUCCUUUCCCAAACUUCAUUUCACCACUAACAUAGUGCGCUUAUGAAGAGUCUUUGAUUCACAAACUCCAUAUCACCACUAACAUAGUGUACUUUUGAAGAGUCUUGAAAUCCUUAUCCCUUCCAAAAAUGAAAAGGGCAUCAAUCCACAUGUUUUAUCACAUAUGAAAAGGGCUAUUCCUUAUGCUACCAAAAGCCAUGGAACAAUACAAAAAAGAUGACCCUAUGUUUCUGCACUGUCAAGGAGCGCAACUUUUAAUGUUACAAUAUAUGGAUGCAGACUACAAAUCAUGUGGAAUACUUCAUUAUGAUACUCUUAUGAUAUCUUCGCUCUACCAUUGGCUUGGCAUAGCUCAUCUACCAGUUUCAGAAAGCCAUCUAUCAUGUUUAACAGCCUUAUCUUCUGAAGUGUGUCCCAAGACGGGUUUCAUAUUUAUUUUUAUUUUCAAAUUUGAAGUCUGUGAUCUAUUUGUUUUCUCUAUAAACCAAUGUGGUGAUGAGGCUGCAAUAAAUUCUCCAAGAAUGUGUUUGGUUUUCUAGUCACUUUGCUGUCAUUUGAAUUGAGCACAUGACGCUCUACACAAUUCAGAAAUUCAGAGUGAAUUAUUACUGCCUCAUUUUGCCAGGGAAUAUGGUGGUUUUUUUUUCCACUUCUUGUCCUUGGAUUUUGAUACAUCUGUGUGUUUCAGAGGGAUAGUAAUUAUCACUUCUAAAAGUGUUUCACCAUGCAAGUGCAAUGAAAAAAGAUGUCACUUAGUGAUAUAAUUAUAUCAUCUGUUGGGUGGACAUGGCUUAGCUUCAGUUGGUUUUGCAAUUAUGUUAUCGUUGACUUCGGAAGAUCUUUUAUUUGAUUUUACCAUGUCAUUUCACAUUUUCAGACUGUGAUCACUCAAAUUAAUAAUGCGAUUGGAGCCUCUGGCAUUGUAAGUGAAGAAUGCAAGACGGUGGUUGCACAAUAUGGGAAAAUUAUACUGGAAAUGCUGGUGGCUCAGGUGAGCAUUAUAGAUUCUUAGUUUUUCUUGCAUUCUGAUAGCAUGUCUUUCCAUCUUAUGGUAGUGGGAGAACGAAAAUUUUUGUUCUAUUAUUAGGCUGGCUAACUUUAUUUUGAAAAUCAUUUUAUUGAAGCGGCAUCUGUUUUGUUCCACCUUUUCAGUUAUCUUUCUAUUUUGUAGGCUCAACCACGAAAGGUGUGCUCUCAAAUUAGCUUCUGUACUUUUGAUGGGACUCAGGGUGUCAGGUCAGGUUCAACUCAUUGUUGCUGUUAAUAUGAUCAACAUGCUAUAUAUGUUAGUUAUUUGAUAGGACACUUCUGCUGCACCAAUGAAAUCAUUAAUUAAGUCAACUCUAUGGUUUCAGUAUGAACAUUGAAGUGUGGUAGAAGAAAGCUCAGACAAAUCAUCAGAUGGUCUGCAUGAUGCCAUGUGUACUGCUUGUGAGAUGAUGGUUGUAUGGAUGGAGAAUCGGCUCAGGCUUAAUGACACUGAAGAUCAGAUUCUGGAUUACGUGAAUGAUGUAAGUUUGCUUUCAGUUCUUGGAGUCUUGUGACAACUCAUGCCAACAAUUGCGACUGCAGCUCUGUAACCGAUUGCCCAGUCCAAAUGGAGAAUCAGCAGUUGAAUGUAGCAGUCUAUCCUCCAUGCCCAGUGUCUCAUUUGAAAUUGGUGGUAAAUUAUUUGAACUGUCACCUGAGCAGGUAUGGCAAUUUUGUUCAGUAUAUUUAUUAUGCUCCAGCUAUUGUAUUCAAAUCAUAUUUCAUUUCAUUUAACUUAAUUAAGCUCGAUGGUAGUCGGUUAAUUGCCAGGGUUGACCUGUCUAUUGGAAUUUAAUUUUGUUGCACUCCUCUCCAUUGAAAUGUCUGUCAAUCUACCUUGUGGAAAUAUUCUGUCAUGUCCUUUUUCAUAUACAAAUAUGAUUUCUGGUAUCUGUAACAUUUCUGGAUUUAUUGUCCCUUGAAUGGUUCAGACGUUCAGUGGGACUUUCCUCUGUGUAUGUAUAUCAGGGCAUGCCUAUGUGUUUUAUCCUAAAUGUGUUGUCGCUGGUACCCUGAGGCACUUCUAUGGUGGCAGCAACAAACAGAUGCCACCACGCAGCUAAAUACUCAUUUUAUGGCUAAUUAUGUGGCUCUGUGUCAAAUUACAACCAUGAGAUUAAUCAAUGACAGAGCUGGCAUAGGAAUGGGUGAUGGUAGAUAUUCAUAUCAAGAGAGAAAGAGUGAAGGGGCAGCACUUCUCUUGAGAAUCAAUUUAUAAAACUCAACAAGUUAAACUGCUGACUCUAGAUAUGUUCCCUAGAGUGGAUGUGUGGUUGUUUUGAUAAACUAAUCAACUCUGUCUACACUAAGCAUAUUUUAACUGUCCUCUGUAUAGUGCCAAUGUUUUCUUUUUUGUAUUUUUACUAUGAUAUUGUGGUUUUGUUUUUCUGGAAACACUCUGAAUGGUGGUACUGUGGAUCAACAGUAUGUACUUAAAGUGGGAGAAGGAGUUUCAGCUCAAUGCAUCAGUGGAUUUAUUGCUUUAGAUGUUCCUCCUCCUCAUGGACCUCUAUGGUAUUUAUCUCUCCUAUUGUUUCUUAUAUAAUCUUAUAAAUUCAUAUUAAACACUAGAUUGGUGAUAUAUGCAGUGGCUACUGGUUCUGAUAUACUCUUAAAUCUACAGAAUCUCAGAAAUUGGCCCUCAAACUCCCAUCUAGUGUUUGGCUAAAAUAAAAUCUCAUAUGGCACGUAGUCAUCUGUAAACAUAAAAGAACCCCUACUAAUAGAUUAUAGAUAUCAACAUAGUCUUUGAUUGUAAGGGUUUCAAGCUUUUCUUCCAUAAAUUCUCUCCCUCCCUCCCUCCCUCUCUCUUAGCGGUUGUCUGUUGGUCCCUUUCAACAUGAAUCAACCAUGGGCAUCAAGGGAAGGGAAGCAUCAUCAGAAUUACAGAAACUCCUUCUCAAAUUCCCAUUUAGCAUUAUUGAAAAAAUAGCAAUGAACCCUUCCAACCAACCUAAACAACGCUGUUAUAGUUUUUCUCUGGGUUUGAUCUUGCUAGUUGGACUUUUAUCGGUCUGUUCAGGCACUAGCUUCUAGCUUGUAUUAUGCUGUGUAAUGCUUCAGAGAUAGUAUUUGCCUUCUCCGGUCUAUCAGGAAAAACAAACAAAUCAAUUUGAUUAACAAUAAGAGUUUAUUUUCCCUUCACCAAUGACCAUUGUAUGCUGUCACCUUUCUCUCUCUCUCUGUGCAAAAAUCUGUCCACUCAUCAAAGUAGCAGAGCUAACAGGUUUAUUUUCUAGCAAUUGAAAUUGUAUGAUUCAGAUACUGGUGUUCUACUACUCCUAGUUUUGUGUUAGCGAGUGGCUGCAACCAGAAGAAUAACGUUAAAUGGUUUUUACUACUCACAUGAAGAUUUUCUUCAAAUAAUUUGCUUGUGAGUACUGCAGAACAUUAUCUUAUGAUUUUGCUCGUGGGAUGCAGGAUCUUGGGAGAUGUUUUCAUGGGACGGUAUCACACAGUGUUUGACUAUGGGAACAUGACAGUUGGAUUUGCUGAUGCAGCUUAAAGUGAAUUUCCUCCUCGGCGUCUCGUAGUUUCACUGCCACAUACAUUUGUAUUGGUAUUAGCUUGACUGUGUGCACGACUUUAUACACUGCUGUCUGUAAAUAAAUGUGUAAUGGAAAGAGUUAUGUAAUCUUCACAAUGAUCUGUGAACCUAGUUUGAACUUGAAGAUGGAAGAGAGUGGGUUUAGGGCUAUGUAAACAAUCCUGUCCCCUAAGGUAUGUAAUCAUCUCCUUCUUCAUAAGAAAACAUCGUUCUUUUCAAGCUUUACUCUUUGUAAACAGUCAACCUAACCUUCUAGGGCUUCUAAGGCUCCUUUUCUUCGUAAUUAGUGCUAAUUCAAGCAUUAAAGAGUCCCUUAAACUCGUAAAUAAAACUUGUUUUCGGAGGUAUUUCAGUUGCUCGAGGCCAUCAUUCUAUACCUUCCGUCUCAUCACAGCCUCAGAAAGACCUUAUAAUCUUAGUGAGAAUUCCAGCAACCUCAUCAAAUGGCAAGAUGGAUAAAUAAUAACAAUAUAAUUGUAAUUCAUGUGAUAUUAAAACGAGACAAAACACCUUGGAAAAACAAACAUUGUAGCUUUACACUAAAAACAUUGUUCAUUGUAAUAAUAUAAUAAUGUUUCUAACGCUCCAUCCAAAAAUCUUAACACAAGCUUUUAAGGGUAUUAGAGUUUUUUUACACGAUUCAUUUUUCAUUACCAAAUAUAUGAUGAUAAAAAAUAUUUUUGUAAUUUGAUUGUAUAGAGAAAUGAUUAAAAUAUCAUUGAAAAUAAAAAAAAUUAGAUUUAGAAUCAAUGGGUAUUUUUAUAUUUUCACAAUGAUUUUUUUGCAAUUAUAAUUUAAGCUAAGAGGCAAUUUAAUAUUUUAUCAAAUAUAAAAAAUAAUAAAUAAAUAAAAGAUAUUGUGAAAUGAAAAAAAUAUCUUUAAAAUCAAGAAUUCUAAAUCUCGAGGAAAGGGAUUUGUUGGUCUUUUCAUAAUAAUUUUUUUUGUAAUUAUAAAUUCAGCUUAGGGGCACUUUGAUAUUUGCUUAAAUAAAAAUUUUUAAAAAAGGAACAAGAAGUAUUUCCCCGUAACUUGAUUGUAUAGAGAAAUGAUUAAAAUACCCUUGGAAAAAAAAUUAGCAUCAAGGGGUAUUUUUAUAUUUUCACAAUGGUUUUUUUACUAUUAUAAUUUAAGCUAAGGGGCAAUUUGAUAUUUAAUCAAAAUAUAAAAAAUAAUAAACAAUUAAAACACAUUGUGAAAUGACAAAAAUAUCCUUAAAAUCAAGAAUUCUAAACCUGGAGUGAAGGGAUUUGUUGGUCUUUUCACAAUAUGUUUUUUGUAAUUAUAAAUUCAGCUUAGGGGCACUUUGAUAUUUACCUAAAAAAAAAAAAAAGCAUAUGUAAUGUACCAGGAGGCGUAUGCGGCGCCUCACAACAUCCAAAAAUGCAAUUCUGACAUGUCAUUGGAAGUGAUGCAACGUUCUUUUCCUGUUGCUGCGACACAUGUAUCCGGUGGUGGUCUGGUUUGUCGCUGGUAGGUCUUUCUUUUUUUCUUUCUCCUUCUUUUCUCUCUUCUCCCCCGAAAAUUGCAGCUUAGCCCUUGGUUGUUGACUUGUUGGUAUUUUAACUUCAUUCAUUAUUCUUUUGGUUUCUAAUUUCGGUCUUGGCUUUUUUGUAAAACAAUUAUUUGUUUUUAAUUUCAUCAUUCAAUCUCAAUUUAUCAAAUAUUAUAUUCUCUAAUUUGGUCCUCAUUAUUUGAAUUUUUAAUUUUUUUUUUCUCAUGGUCUUUUUGUAAAAGUUUUAUUAAUUUUCAAUUUCAUUAUUUAAAUCAAAUUGAUGAUAUUAUGUUUUCCAAGUUGUUCCUCGUUGUUUUGAUUUUUUUUCUUAGCUCUUUUGUGAAAAUUAUUAUCUUUUCAAUGUCACCCUUCAAUCCAAAACAUUGUUUUUAUUUUUAUGUCAAUUUUGACUCUCAUUCUUUUGAUUUUUUUAAUCAUUUUACUAAAUUGAUUUUUCUUUUUAUUUUUUCCCUUUAAUAAAAUAUUAGAUUUAUUUUUUAUUUUAAUUUUAAUCACCAUUCUUUUAAUUGCUAUAUAUAUAUUUUUAAUAUUUUUGUAUAAUUAAUUUUUUUUUCAAUUUCAUCUUUUAAUAUAUGAUUAAUGAAAAUUGAACUUUAUAGUUUUUUAGAUUGGAUAUUUCGGGUCUAAUAACCUAGAUUAAAGUUAACACAAGUUUGUUUUUUAAUAAAAAUUGCUUUAUAUUUUUUUAGCAUGUUAUUUCAAUCUUAUUAUCUAGGUUGAGAGUAUGAAGAUAUAUCUCAUAUUAACUUAGCCCUAAAUACUAUAGUUACAAGUUUGUUAUGAAUAUUUAUUUGAACAUCAUUUUUUAAAGGAAAAAAAUAUAGCAUGCCCCAUGGUAAAAUGUGGAUACCCAAGCUAGUUGUCAUUGGAUUGGAUACUCGUACUCCAUGCAUUCGACUUUUCUAUUCUUUGAGAGCAUAGUUUUGAAACCAGGCUUGGUUGACCUGGAGUUGGAAUUAGGGUGGGUUGAAGAAAAAACGAAGAAAAAAAAAUCGGUGUGACCCGGUUGACUCGACGGGUUGACCCGGCAAAACCCGGUCAAGUCCCGACCGCAAACCCGUUGAAUUUUUUUUUUUUUUUACUAAAACGACAUUUUGAUUUUUUUUGAAAAGAAAUUUGACACAGCGACACGGUCAAAACCCGGAACCUGAGCCUUGGACCAGACCGAGUCUUAAAACUAUGUUUGAGAGGUUUAUUGGACAACUCUUGAUUUUUUUUUAAUAAUUUAGAAGAUUCAAUAAAAAAAACAUUAUGUGAACAGGAAAGUAACCCGUAUGAGAAAGAAAAAAUAGUUUGAGAGGGAGGAACCUUAAGAGCAAAAUAAUUAAAUUGAUUUGUUCGUUCUUGGGCCACUCUUUAUUUUUCGUUUCUUUUUUAACAUUUAAUAUUUCACUUUUUGUAUCCCCCCCCCCCACAAUACAACCAUCAAUCCCACAGCAUAGAAUAGAUAAUAAAUAAAAAGAUAAUAUAUAAAGUUAAGAACGGUUGAAAAGACUUAAGAUUCCUUGGAGUUUUACUCAAUUAUAAAAUUGAAUUUAAUAACAGAAACAUUAAGAUUUAAAGUCCUAGUUAAAACCCUGGAGUCCAAUACAUUUAAUAAACCUCAAAAAUAGAUUACAAUAAAGGAGAGAGUUAGAGCCUAUGGAAUUAAUUUCUAAAAACUUUUUGAUAGAAAUUAAACUCAAUUUGCAAUACCAUAUUAGUGGUUAGGACUUUGGCAUUAAUAUAUAGUUAUGGGUUAGUGGGGCAAAAAAGUUUUAAUACUCUAAAGUUGAAGGGUUAGUACUCUAGCCUCCUUUAGUAAUGGGUUUUUUUUUAAAAAAAAAAAAGAAGAAGAAAAUCAAAUACUCUAUAAAGGGAAGACUUCAUCUCAUAACUUCUUGCAUAAAUAAAUUCUACAACUACACUAGAGGCCUAUUGGCGCACCUUUUAUAAUUAAGCCAAUGGAUCUAUUCAUCUCAAUAUUCAACAUACUUCACAAAGAUUUAUAUAGCCAUGUUAAAAAGUAUUUGAAAGUAUGAUAACAGUUAUUUAUUAAAGUGUUUUUUAUUUUAAAAUAUUUAAAAUAUUAUUUUAGUUUUUUUAAAAUAAUUUUUGACAUUAACAUAUUAAAAUGACUUAAAAAUAUAAAAAAAGCAAAAAAAAUUAAAUAAAAAAAUAAUUUUUUUUUCAAAAGCAUUUUUAAAAUAUAGAAACAAACAAGCUUUAAAUCUGAUAAUCAAAUAUGGAUUUUGCUUUAAAAACUUAAGAAAAUGGUUUAUUCUCAAAUUUUAGUUUUCUUCUAUUUAUUUAUAAUGAGAUUUGUUUUCUUGGUUGUAAAGUGAUUUUGAUUUUAGGAUCUUUACUAAACCGUUGAGUUCUUUAAAGAUUUGUAUACUAUAUUGAAUUUGAUGAUAAACUAUACGUACUUGUAUAUUAUUUUGAUUUUUUACAUAUUGUUUGAUUUUCUCACUGAUUAAAAAGAUUCAUUCACAUGAGAAAAAAGAAAAAAGAAAAAAAAAGAAAGAGUAAAAGGAAAGGAGACAGAGUGAAGCUUUUGAGAUGCUGAAAUGUGAACGUAAGAGUACAUAAAUGCUGAAAGAAACACUAAUAGGAGCAAAAGCAUGAAAAGCGUUGGCACUCUCAUGCCCACACGAAGACAAAUUGAAACGUUGCCGUUGUUUCAAAACACAUGUUGUGUAAUCCCCACAUGAAUUAAUAGAAUAGACACCAAAAUUACAGAUGUCACCCUCGAUUGGGGGAUUGCCUUUAGAAAAAGGUAGACUAAUAUUGGUACAUUUAAUCAAUUUGUAGGUCACCACAUUGCUUUAAUUAAAACAACCUAUUUUUUUUAUUAAGUUUAUGUUAUCGGUUUAAUUAUUUUUAUUAAAACAACGUUAUCUUAUUUAUUUAUUUAUUAAAUAAAUUUUUUAUGUUGUUAACCUUAUCGAGUUUGAAUCGGGUCAAUCAAAUUAAUAAAAAUCUAACCAAAUCAAUCAGAUUUUAUCUUAUUAAUACCUCAUCAAGAAAUGAAGCAUUUAUCACCUUUAGAAAAAAGUAGACUAUUAUUGGUACAUUUAAUUGUUUAAUUUUUUUAGAUUGGUUUUAAUCUCGUCAAUCGAGUCACUAAAAAUCUAACCAAAUCAACCGAGUUUUACCUUAUUAAUAUCAGAUCUCAUUUUUCUUGAUUUUUUUUUAAAAUCCUUACAUAUUAGUGAAGCAUUUAUACAUGUGUGCGUAGGUAUAUAGACGAGAGUUGCUUGUGAGAAAAGCCUCUUCAUGAUCAUUAUCCACCUUACAAGCAACGCAUAAAAUCAAGCAUCCCAUCCCAUCUACUAACCAGAAGACACCGUUUAUUUGGUCCAACUAACAGUAAGAUUGACAGGAGAUCGAGUGCUGCGUGAGAUGACAGACUGUUGGAUCAGUCUUCACAUUCCUUAUUUUUAUACACUUAGCUGAGUUUGUUGGCUUUAAUGGCUCUUGCUUUAUUGCAAUUAGCGCUGUUUGUUUACCUUUUGGAAUAUUAGUUGCAACGUCUACAACGCUUCUCUGCCCUCUGCUAGCUGAGGUCCCUCAUGUUUUGGGCUUUUAGCUUAGUUUCUUUUUGCUACAUCUUAUUCACCAGAGCAAGCUUUCUACCAUGCAUGCAUACAUUCCCAGGUCAUAAUCGCAUCAGCAUUGUUACUCUUCUAUUCAAGGAUGUUAAUUCUGUUUCGAUACGUGUUUUGUUUAUUUUAUUAAAAUAAAUAUUAAUGUUUUAGUUUCAAAGUGUUUUGAUAUACCAUUUUAAAGUUGUACUUUUCAUGUGUAUAUAUAUAUAUUAUAAUACCAAACAAAUAUAAUUUUAAAAUUUAAAAUAUUUUUAAAUAGUCAAGAUUAAAUAGAUUUUUAACUUAAAAUAAUUCAACUUAAACAAAAUAUUAUGAAAGUAAAAUUUUUUAACAUAAUUUUUUUAAAUAUAAAGUUAGGUCAAUGUUGUCAAAGCUAAUGGAAUUUAAAGCAUCUAUUGUUUUGCUCAAAUUCCUACAAAAUAUAAACAUGAAAAAAAAACAACAUGAAUAUAACCAAUUAUAUAUUAGUGAUAAAUCUAAUUUUAAAAAAUUAAUAUCAUUGUUAAUGAAAAUAUAUAGUAAUAAUAAUUUUCAAUAUUAUUAUUAAUAUCAUUGUUAUUGAAUAUAGUAAUGAAAAAUAGCUUUUUAUACUUGGAUGGUUUAAUUAAUUAAAUUGAAUAAGGUUCAAUUUGAUUCAAUAGCUUUUACGAUCGGAACAGAAUAUAUGGAAUGAAACCGGAACGUUUCAGCUGAAAUUUAGUUGAAAAAUCCAGAACAGAUCGAGAUUUAAAAUGAGAUAAAAAUUAUUUCGUUUUGUAAAUUAGUAUAAAAUAUUUUAGUAAUUCCAAGCUAAAUGAAAUAGAAUUGAUAGCCUUGCUUCCAUGAAGCUGAUGAAGAGCCUGGCUUCUGUAUAUUACAAGCCCUCGAAUCUAAUCAUUCAAGACAAGAGUCGCUCUCGAACAUAUGAAGAGCAGCUGGCUACACUGAUCAUGACGACGACGACGAUGAUGAUAAUUACAGGAAGGAAGAAGAUGUGGACAUGUCAACGUCACUUGAAGAUGGAUGAUUUCGAGUUUUUUGAAGCAACAUUUUCCUUUUCUUUUUUGCCAUCUUUCCUAAUCCUUGAAUGAUUAAAGUAGAAGGGUGCAUCAAAUGAUUAUCAUUUCGUGAUAGGUAGGCUCUUUUUUUUAAAAGAAAAAAAAGAAGAAGAAGAAGCAAGCAAUAUAUAGCUUAGAUCAGAGAUGUCUUUUAAUUUCCAUGAACAAGUAAUUAGUUGCUUUCGCCAAAAAUACAAAUAUAAUAAUAAAAAAUUAUUACAUCGACUAAUCCUAUAAAUCUUAAAGUUAAUGAUUAUAUAAAUUUUUGAUGGUUAUUAUAUUUGCAAUUUCAAGUUUCGAACUUUAGACUACAUGGAAAAUGAAUUUCUUGGUCUUAAACUUUUAUUAUUGGGCCAUCUAUUUGAUUUUUUUUUUAAUUGUGGGAGUUAUUGUUUUAUAAAAUACUUUUUAUUUGAAAAUAUAUUAAAAUAUUUAUAUACUAGUAAUUUUAUGGUGACAAUUAUUAUUUUACUACUUUUAAUUUCUGAAAUUAUAUAUAUAUUUUUUAAAAAUUUAUUUUUAUAUUAGUACAUUAAAACGAUAUAGAAACAUAAAAAAAUAUUUUUAAUUUGAAGUAAAAAAUUAAAAAAAAUUAAAUUUAUUUGAAAUCAUUUUUAAAAUAAAAAAAUAAACAGGCUAUUACAGCAGGUAGCCACGUGCAAGACGUAUGAUGAUUGAUUGCUUUGCUUGAAGGACAGAAAUCCAUAACUAAAGUUUGAUUUUAGGAGCUAUUAAUUCUUGAUCAGGUUUGCAAAUUACCCACUAUUUACGUUUAGGAAAGAAUUGAGAAGCAAUCUCUCGAUCGAGGGGCACUCGUCAUGAUCAUCAUAAUUGAUUCUUCCUUUUUCAACAUAAUCAUAAUAUUCCUCCCUCCCUGCAAACCUCACAGAAUUCAAACGUUGAAGUAAGCAAGGAAAAUGUGAAUUCACAAUAUUAUCCAUGGAGGUUUCACAUUACGUCAACUAAGAUAUUAUUAUUAUUAUUAUUAGAAUAAUAAUGCUUGAAGUGAAAAAUAACCUGUGCUAGAAUUGAGCACUUGACUCGUGAUAAAUGCCCGGUUUCACAUUCACAUAAUUGACUUCACCUCCGGCAAGCACAUUGACCGGGUUUAUACUCAAAUGGAUUCUAGAAUUCUACCAUUUCUUGGGUGGUUCAACCCACCCCAUCUCAACAUACUCUUAAUUAAUCUUCAAAGUCCACUCCCAUACAAUACUUCAAUUAUCCAUCCACUCUAACUUUUCCAACCCCUCCUACCCACCUUCUACUUGUAAUUGUAAUUUAAAAUAGUUUUUAUUUAAAAAUACUUUAAAAUAAUAUUUUUUUAAAAAUUAUUUUCGACAUCACUGUAUUAAAAUAAUUUAAAAAUAUAAUAAAAAAUUAUUUUUAAAAAAUAUGAUUUUAACUGCUUUUUCAAAUACUGUUUUUAUGAAAUGUUUUUAAAUUAAAAAUAUAUUAAAAUAAUAAUUUAUGUAUUUAUUUUAGUAUUCGUAUAUUAGAAUCAUUUAAGAAAAUAGAUAGAAGACUUUUACUCUUAGCCAAUUUGCAAGCUCUUACCUCCCCUACUAAAUUCUCCACACGUGCCCACGAGGCCUAUGACAAGUCUUUGCCGUCUAGGCGGCCAAAGCUGUCAAACCCACAGCUACAUGGAUGCGUCGUACACUCUUGUUCGAGGCAUUGUCCCAACUAACCUUCAAAUAUUAUCCCUCCACGUUUUCUAUAUAAAAAGGCACUUUAGCAAGUAGCAACAAAACACACCCAACAAAGCAUAGUUUCAUUUGCCAGCUUUGUAAAAUGGACUGGACUAGAGGCCACAGCAUAGGCCACGGCUCCACAGCCACCGUUUCCCUCGCCACCUCUGUCCAAUCCGGUGAUGUUUUCGCCGUCAAAUCCGUCGAGUUAUUCCAAUCUGGAUUCUUGCAAAGGGAGCAACGGAUUCUCUCUUCUCUAACCUCUCCUUUUAUAGUUAGCUACAGGGGCUGUGACAUUACUAGAGAGAACAGCAAAGUUAUGUACAAUCUCUUCUUGGAGUACAUGCCCGACGGCACUCUUAGCAAUGCAAUCCAUUCUCAUGGAGGUCGGCUGGACGAAUCGUUGAUCAGGAACUACACGAGUCAAGUCUUGCAAGGUCUGGAUUACAUACAUUUGAACGGAUUGGUGCAUUGUGACAUUAAGAGCAGCAACAUUUUAGUAGGACCAAGCGGUGCCAAGAUUGCAGAUUUCGGGUGUGCAAGGCGGGUGGAACAAGUAGGACAGAUCGCGGGCACGCCGAUGUUUAUGGCACCAGAGGUGGCGCGUGGAGAGGAGCAGGGGUUUGCCAGUGAUAUAUGGGCUUUAGGGUGCGCAAUUAUUGAAAUGGCUAGUGGCAGUACGCCUUGGCGUAAUGUCAACGAUCCAGUUUCCAUCAUUUACCGGGUAGGUUAUUCGGGUCACUUACCAGAUUUCCCCAGUUGCCUGUCGGAACAAGCAAGGGAUCUCUUGGACAAGUGUUUAAGGAGGGACCCAAGAGAGAGGUGGACAGCUAGUCAACUUCUUAAGCAUCAAUUUUUGGUUGGAGAAAGCAAUUCUCAUGUCGCAAAGCAAAUCCAAGAAUCCAAUUCAAGUUCGAAUUCUCCUACAAGUAUUCUUGAUCAAUGCUUUUGGAACUCACUGGACUUAUCGGAAAGUUUGAAUAACUCGGCCUCUGUCCCUCCAAGCCGUGAAAGUUCAGCCGGAGAGAGGGUCAGAGGGCUGUGCUUGCUCUCAGGGAUGCCUAGGUGGGAUUGGGAUGAGAGCUGGACCACCAUCAGAGGGGAUAGCAGGGAAGAACGUGAUGCAAUUAUGGAUUGCAUUGAAGUCAAAGAUGAUAUAGUUAGUUGUGGCCUGGGAGAGCAGAAAAGCUAUGGUGGUAGCAAGGAGCUGUUAAACUUUCUAGAUAGCAACAUUAGCAGUAGAAUUUUUGAUGAUUUUUGGGCUUCCUGUAAAUAUAGCAAAGUUCGUUUUGGAAAUCCUUGUAUGUCAAGAUUACCCUUACAAGCAUAAAUCAUUCUCUUUUUUGGACAGCUGGGUGGUUUUUUUUCUUCUUAUUGGUAAAAAAGAGAGGUUAAACCCCAUGUUUCGAAUUUCGUUUCAAACAUGAAUGGAGUAGUAAAUUUUGAUUUUUUUUUAUAUUUUACAUCGUUUUGAUAGGAUAAGUUAAAAUUAAAAAUAAUUUUAAAAAAAUAUUAUUUUAAUAUAUUAUUAAAUCAAAUAUAUUUUAAAAAUAACUAUUAUUAAUUAUCCUCUUAAACACUCCUAAAAUAUAAAAAAUAAAGCUUCAAACUCAACCAAAUUCAUUGGUAAUUGUUGAGUUUAGUUAAUUAAACACAAAAGAGCAUAGGGUAUAGCGAGUGGGAUUUGGGAGAUCUUGCCCAUAGUUGUCAAACUUACCAUAAGUACUGAGGAGGAAAAAUAUUGUCAACUCAAAUGGGCAAUCAAGUUAAUUUAAAUAAAUUAUUUUUAAUAAAAUAUCACCGUUUUAAUUUUUUUAAUUUUAAAAUUAAUUUUAUCAAAUUUAACUAGAUUAAAUUACUAAAAACUUAAUUAGAUUAAUCAAGUUUUAUCAGGACAGUAUCUUUCUCUAUUCAACUUGAAAUACAACCCGGAAUAUAAUAACCAUGCACUUACCAAUUGCCAUCCCCUAACCCUAUCUUCUGAUUCCGAGUUGAGUUCAGAUGGCAGAAAUGGCCAAAACCAACCGCGAGUUAGGCCGCUUCCAUUAAAACUAGCCACCAAGUCCUCUCCUCUGUUUCUUUAUUUGGUAGGUUAAGUUUAGACCUAACUAAACAAGGUACCGUUCCAAUUAGGCCACCUCCGCUGCUGUCCUUCGGUCCGGUCCGGUCGGUAAAACAAAUUUAAAUUCCUCCAACUCUACUGGCUGCAUAUCUGGCCACGUCACCUGCUACUGUUAUUUGCAGGUGAGCUUGGAUCAUGAUUAUGUCAGAUCAUUCUGUAUUAAAAUGUCACCAAUUUUAUUAGCUGGAUUCGGGUCACGUGGAUUCAAUUACAUCACUGCCAAUAAUAAUAGAGAAUUAAAUCAAUUGAAUAUAUUAAAUCCACAUUAAUUUCAUCACUAUUAUAUUGCUCCUUUUGUUUUUUUAUUCAUAAUUUUAUAUGAUACCCCAUUUCUAAUUGUUGAUCCUUUGCAAAAAAUAGGGUGCCGUAGAAAAAAAAGUCAAAUUAUCUUAAAUUUUUUUUUAUAUGAUAUAAAAUAAAUAGUAAUAUCUUAUUAACUAUUUACUAGAAGUUAUUUUGAAGAAAGAGAUAUUUAUAUACAAGAGAAAGAGAAUAGAAUUUAUGACUCAUCAGAACUAAUGAACUAAUAAGAACAUCUUCAUUUAAGAUUUUUCUCUCUUUGUAUAUUUAUUUCUUUAAAAUGUGUUAUAGUAAUUAACUAAUAUGAUACUAUUAGUGAUUUUUUUAGCACCAUAAUUUUUUUUUAUUAAUCUCGUUGAAACAUUGAGAAUAUUUGUUAUGUAAAUAAAAAAUUAAUUUCAACGUGAUUAUUUAAAAACUCACAAUGUAUAUUAAUGAACUAUAUGAAGUAUUUUUAAGAAUGUUUAUUAAGAUUUAAUGAAUUUUUUAAAUAAUAAAAUAAUUAAUCAAAAUAAAAUGAAGAAAUUUUUAUGAUGCCCGAGAAGUUAUUAGUGAUAUUCUAGAAGAGAAAUAAACUGAUAGAAGUAAAAGAAAAUAAAAUCCAUGACUCAUUAAAAUAUAUAAGAAUAUCUUUCAAUUUUGAGGGGUGUAGUUUAACUGGUCAUGCUCUAAGUUUGUUCUCUAGAGGUCACCAGUUCAAGUCCUACAAACCUUAAGACCACUGGAGGCUUACAUGAUCAUUAAUUUCAGGGCCCGUGGAAUUAAUCGAGAUACACACAAGCUGACCCAGACACCCACGUUAAUAAUAAUAAAAAAAAUAUAAAUAUCUCUCAUUUCUUUCAUCUACUUGUUUUUAUUUAUUUUUUCAAAAUGAAUCCCAGGUAAUAAUUAAUAAGAUUUCAUCAUCAUUUACUUGGUGAGCCCCAUAAAAUUUUCUUUGUGAUGCAUGCAUGACCGUUGACUUUAGCGAAAAAAGAAAAAAAGUGACAGAGGUAUAUUAGAACAUGAGAACAAACUAAUAUCAUGUUAAGAACUUUUUGAAUUGAAUAGUUUUAAUAAAAUCUUAUAUUUUGAUUUAUUUUGAAUAUCAAGAAUUGAGUUUUAGAUUUUAAAAAAAUUAUACAAAAGUAAAUUAGAGAACGACUCAUCUAUUUUGUUGUUAAAAUAAAUACUAGAAAUUAUUAUUAUUAACAAUUAGUUUUUCUAAAAUAUGCAUUUACUCUUGUUUUUUUGUCACUUUUCUCUCUUCCAUCAAAGGUAAACACAUGCUACCAUUAAACCCUCGACAACACUACCAUCAAAACAAUCAUCCCAUCCCAUAUUUUGUUCUUAAUUUUAUGGCUCAUGUAAUCUUGAGAAACUGGGCCUUAGGGUAGGCAUUUGAAUUUGUUUUUUUUUUGAGUUAUUUGGGGUGAUAGUGAUGGAUGAAAACUUGAGGUAGAAAGAGGGGGUUGUUGUGAUAAUGAUGGAGGAAAAUUACGGUGGUUGAAGGAGGUGAUUUCUUUAUUGUGCGAAAGAUAUAGAGCAUUAAGAGAUUUUUUGAAUGAAUAAGGUGAUAUUAACUUCUUUUUUUAACUACCUUUUACUUUUAUGUGUUUUUCAAUAAUUUUAUUAGAUUGAUAUUAAUUUUUUUAAAAAAACAAAACUUAACAACAAUGCCCCUUAAAGCUCCGAGUGACACCGACCGCCCCUUCCUUUCCCAACUAACGCCGCCUAAAACCCACCACUCUUUCCCGCCAUGUUUCUCCUGACGUUGAGUUAAAGAAGCCCUCGACCUGUGUUCGUUUCAAAAUUCUGUUAACUCCUUAUAUACAAGCAGUUUCAGGAUUGAAUACGAGGAGGAAUUGGACAGUGAAGGUUAAGGUUUGUUCUAAAGCUGAGAGCUCGAGCUUCCCUCUGGAGAAAAGGAGGUUCUUGCUUUAAAUUCCUGGGUUUUGCUUUCUGGGUGUCUUUAGAUGCAUGGGAACUAGGCUCUGGAUAUGUGGUUUUAAUUGUUCUGUGCAUAAAAGUAGUGGAAAACGCAUGUCUGCUCAAAGCAGAGAAGGUUCUGUCUGAUGAGGAUGAACAAGACACACACAGUCAUGUACAUGCCCUGUUUUCUUUUUCUAUAGGGCGAAUCUCCAUUGACAAAGUGGGAAAUUAUACUCAUGUUGUUGUCAUGCGUUUCCAAGCAAAGAUUUUGCAUAGUUCUAUGAGAACCCUUUCUAUCUGAAAGUCUUCGACGAACAUGUAAUCACCAUAACUCCUAUUUUCUCUAAGAUUUUACUGGUAUUUCCUUUAACAAUCCACCAAUUUUGCCUCAAUUAGAAUCUUACCAGGUGCCUUUUCUAUUUGGCUUAGUUUUCCCGCUUUCUGGUAGGAUUUAGUUAAUGUGGAUUAUGAAUCUGAAGCUGAAGAUGAUAUGCUUCGUAUAUCUCGUAAAGGAGAGGGAAACCACUUACUUCCACUUUUUGACUGCUUCUCGUUGGUAUAUUUUGCAGCAGAGGUCUUUCAGAUGUUUGUGGGUAGCACUGGAUAGAAAGAAGUAAGAGUUUUUGUCUUCUGUUCACCUUUCAAUUAUCAGUCUUUAAAUUAUCCAUGGAUGCUUCAGUGUCCUAUCUUGAAUACUGGACUCUCUCUGGGAAUUUAUACUUAACUCUGAAAUUCUGAUGUUACAGUUUAUUUUGUGAUUCGUCUUCUUGCUCAUAGAUGCUGAGGCAUCAAUGAAAGGGUACUCCCUACUCACUGUUUUUAGGAACAAACAUUCAGGUAAGCAUGCUCAUAAUUAUGAUUUCAGCUUAGUUAUUUAUUCAGAUUUUUAUUAUUAGUCACUUUAAUUUCCUUUCCCAGCUACUUCCUUUGAUAGUUGGAACAAGUAAAAUACAGAUAUUCACUUUGCCUCUUGCCUCUUGCCAUAUAAUUUAGUACAUAAUUUAAGUGGUAUAGUGAUGCAGCCUGGAGAUUUAAGCAGCUUCAUAUUUGUAAUUUCAGUAAAUUUCCUGUAGAAAGGACUCUUUUCUGUAAAUCCUAAACGUGGUGCUUAGGUUCUUACUCAAGUAGUGUUUCCUUGUAUCUGUUUUCAAUUUCAAAGUCCCUGAAUCACUUUAUUCCAUAGCCCUAACCCUAUAAACAAACAUAUAUCUUGGAUUUGUCCUGUAUCAUAUAGAUGUUCAGGCUACAAAUGUGAUGGUUUGAAUUGGAGGCCGACUUCCUUCCUUCUGUCUAAAGGUU